This 253-nucleotide ribosomal RNA is filed under the name uncultured bacterium. RNAcentral's name for it is "partial 16S ribosomal RNA". It matches the Rfam family "Bacterial small subunit ribosomal RNA", at positions 524 to 776 of the family's 1533-position model. The record is from RNAcentral.
UACGAAGGGGGCUAGCGUUGCUCGGAAUUACUGGGCGUAAAGGGCGCGUAGGCGGCACUGUUAGUCAGGCGUGAAAUUCCUGGGCUCAACCUGGGGACUGCGCUUGAUACGGCAGAGCUUGAGGAUGGAAGAGGGUCGCGGAAUUCCCAGUGUAGAGGUGAAAUUCGUAGAUAUUGGGAAGAACACCGGUGGCGAAGGCGGCGACCUGGUCCAUUACUGACGCUGAGGAGCGAAAGCGUGGGGAGCGAACAGG